This 253-nucleotide ribosomal RNA is filed under the name uncultured bacterium. RNAcentral's name for it is "partial 16S ribosomal RNA". It matches the Rfam family "Bacterial small subunit ribosomal RNA", at positions 524 to 776 of the family's 1533-position model. The record is from RNAcentral.
UACGGAGGGAGCUAGCGUUGUUCGGAAUUACUGGGCGUAAAGGGCGCGUAGGCGGCCUUCUAAGUCGAACGUGAAAUCCCCGGGCUCAACCCGGGAACUGCGUCCGAUACUGGAAGGCUUGAAUCCGGGAGAGGGAUGCAGAAUUCCAGGUGUAGCGGUGAAAUGCGUAGAUAUCUGGAGGAAUACCGGUGGCGAAGGCGGCAUCCUGGACCGACAUUGACGCUGAACGGCGAAAGCUAGGGGAGCAAACGGG